This 312-nucleotide unclassified non-coding RNA is filed under the name Hevea brasiliensis (rubber tree). Lineage: Eukaryota; Viridiplantae; Streptophyta; Magnoliopsida; Malpighiales; Euphorbiaceae. The record is from RNAcentral.
UGAUGGUAUCUAUGUCAGCGAGAAGGGUAAAAUUGUCGAAGAAGAAUGAGUAUUUUAGAAGUAGGCAUGUUGGUGAUGGACCAUAUCCCAAAUCCUCGUUUUACCAUUUCUUUCAAGUUUUUUUGGAGACCAUAUAUUACAGACUUGUUUGAAUUUCAGUUUUCUAGUUCUUGUGUUGAAAUUUUGUUGACAAAGUGGCCUUGGUGGUUCUUUCAAUUACACCAAAUGUUUCUGUUCUCGUUAUCUUUUGAGUGAAAAUUGUUAAAUCCCAAGUUGCAACUAUGUUAUAUAUAUCAUAGCUUUUGAAUUUUG